Molecule: non-coding RNA, 181 nt
Filed under: bovine gut metagenome
Source: RNAcentral
GGGAUGGUGCCCCUGGGUGAAAAGGGAACCGGGUGUGAAUCUCGGACAGACGGUGCUGCUGUGUGCCCCCUGUUUAAUACCCCGUACCUGUCCACUGUGGCUCGCUCCCGAUUGCUGGGACACCAUGGGAAGGACAGGACACAAGAUAGGGUAGGGGCGAGUCAGAAGACCUGCCAAAUCG